AGACCCGAAACCCGGUGAUCUAGCCAUGGGCAGGUUGAAGGUUGGGUAACACUAACUGGAGGACCGAACCGACUAAUGUUGAAAAAUUAGCGGAUGACCUGUGGCUGGGGGUGAAAGGCCAAUCAAACCGGGAGAUAGCUGGUUCUCCCCGAAAGCUAUUUAGGUAGCGCCUCGUGAAUUCAUCUCCGGGGGUAGAGCACUGUUUCGGCUAGGGGGCCAUCCCGGCUUACCAACCCGAUGCAAACUGCGAAUACCGGAGAAUGUUAUCACGGGAGACACACGGCGGGUGCUAACGUCCGUCGUGAAGAGGGAAACAACCCAGACCGCCAGCUAAGGUCCCAAAGUCAUGGUUAAGUGGGAAACGAUGUGGGAAGGCCCAGACAGCCAGGAUGUUGGCUUAGAAGCAGCCAUCAUUUAAAGAAAGCGUAAUAGCUCACUGGUCGAGUCGGCCUGCGCGGAAGAUGUAACGGGGCUAAACCAUGCACCGAAGCUGCGGCAGCGAACGUAUCACCCAAGACAACUUUACGGAGUUGACGAUUGACGGAGCGAAGCGACGUCAAAGCGUUCAUUAAAGUCGAGUUGGCUUAGGGAUACGUUCGUUGGGUAGGGGAGCGUUCUGUAAGCCUGUGAAGGUGUGUCGUGAGGCAUGCUGGAGGUAUCAGAAGUGCGAAUGCUGACAUAAGUAACGAUAAAGCGGGUGAAAAGCCCGCUCGCCGGAAGACCAAGGGUUCCUGUCCAACGUUAAUCGGGGCAGGGUGAGUCGACCCCUAAGGCGAGGCCGAAAGGCGUAGUCGAUGGGAAACGGGUUAAUAUUCCCGUACUUGGUGUUACUGCGAAGGGGGGACGGAGAAGGCUAUGUUGGCCGGGCGACGGUUGUCCCGGUUUAAGCGUGUAGGUGUGUGUUCCAGGUAAAUCCGGUUCACUUUAACACUGAGGCGUGACGACGAGGCACUACGGUGCUGAAGCAACAAAUGCCCUG
This 979-nucleotide ribosomal RNA is filed under the name Salmonella enterica. Its description in RNAcentral is "partial 23S ribosomal RNA". It matches the Rfam family "Bacterial large subunit ribosomal RNA", at positions 711 to 1604 of the family's 2925-position model. Lineage: Bacteria; Pseudomonadati; Pseudomonadota; Gammaproteobacteria; Enterobacterales; Enterobacteriaceae. RNAcentral also lists the same sequence under 3 other names. The record is from RNAcentral.